Podiceps cristatus (great crested grebe) is the source of this 45-nucleotide non-coding RNA. The record is from Rfam. NCBI's taxonomy places the organism in Eukaryota, Metazoa, Chordata, Aves, Podicipediformes, Podicipedidae.
GAAUAGGUUUCACUCGAAACCACAUAAAUUCAGCACACAUUGCAA